RNAcentral lists this ribosomal RNA (465 nucleotides) under Vreelandella stevensii. RNAcentral describes it as "partial 16S ribosomal RNA". It matches the Rfam family "Bacterial small subunit ribosomal RNA", at positions 338 to 795 of the family's 1533-position model. The record is from RNAcentral. Lineage: Bacteria; Pseudomonadati; Pseudomonadota; Gammaproteobacteria; Oceanospirillales; Halomonadaceae.
CCUACGGGGUGCUGUAGUGGGGAAUAUUGGACAAUGGGCGAAAGCCUGAUCCAGCCAUGCCGCGUGUGUGAAGAAGGCCUUCGGGUUGUAAAGCACUUUCAGUGGGGAAGAAAGCCUUGGGGCUAAUACCCUCGAGGAAGGACAUCACCCACAGAAGAAGCACCGGCUAACUCCGUGCCAGCAGCCGCGGUAAUACGGAGGGUGCGAGCGUUAAUCGGAAUUACUGGGCGUAAAGCGCGCGUAGGCGGUCUGAUAAGCCGGUUGUGAAAGCCCCGGGCUCAACCUGGGAACGGCAUCCGGAACUGUCAGGCUAGAGUGCAGGAGAGGAAGGUAGAAUUCCCGGUGUAGCGGUGAAAUGCGUAGAGAUCGGGAGGAAUACCAGUGGCGAAGGCGGCCUUCUGGACUGACACUGACGCUGAGGUGCGAAAGCGUGGGUAGCAAACAGGAUUAGAUACCCGAGUAGUC